Molecule: ribosomal RNA, 273 nt
Filed under: uncultured bacterium
Lineage: Bacteria
Description: partial 16S ribosomal RNA
Rfam family: Bacterial small subunit ribosomal RNA
Source: RNAcentral
UCCGCAGGGUGAGAUCGUUACUCGGAAUUACUGGGCGUAAAGCGUGCGCAGGCGGUUCUAUAAGACAGAUGUGAAAUCCCCGGGCUCAACCUGGGAAUGGCAUUUGUGACUGUAGAGCUAGAGUACGGUAGAGGGGGAUGGAAUUCCGCGUGUAGCAGUGAAAUGCGUAGAUAUGCGGAGGAACACCGAUGGCGAAGGCAAUCCCCUGGACCUGUACUGACGCUCAUGUACGAAAGCGUGGGGAGCAAACAGGAUUAGAUACCACCGUAGUCC